UACAGAGACUGCAAGCGUUGUUCGGAUUCACUGGGCGUAAAGGGUGCGCAGGCGGCCGUGUGUGUGAGGCGUGAAAGCCCGGGGCUUAACCCCGGAAUUGCACCUCAAACUACAUGGCUAGAGCAUUGGAGAGGGUAGCAGAAUUCAUGGUGUAGCAGUGAAAUGCGUAGAUAUCAUGAGGAAUACCAGAGGCGAAGGCGGCUACCUGGACAAUUGCUGACGCUCAGGCACGAAAGCGUGGGGAGCAAAAGGG
Molecule: ribosomal RNA, 253 nt
Filed under: uncultured bacterium
Lineage: Bacteria
Description: partial 16S ribosomal RNA
Rfam family: Bacterial small subunit ribosomal RNA
Source: RNAcentral